Gadus chalcogrammus (walleye pollock) is the source of this 394-nucleotide long non-coding RNA. RefSeq lists it as uncharacterized. The record is from RefSeq and is a predicted model, not a curated record. The transcript has 3 exons. NCBI's taxonomy places the organism in Eukaryota, Metazoa, Chordata, Actinopteri, Gadiformes, Gadidae.
UAGUAGGCCUAUCUUCACCUGGUACAAUCUGUACGCGAGUUGUAGUUACUAUAGACAGCGACCACAGAUGCUGUAAAGGUUUAUAGUCAACGCUUAUUCAAAUCCCCCAAAACAGUGUAACUCUGACUGUUGUUCUGUUUCUGGCCGAGGUUCUUUGUCGUCACCCGCCAAAUGUUCUGCCAUAACAUGCACUGUUGAGCUCAGCGCAGACAGAAGGACAUUGUAACCCUAAGAACAGGAAAGACGGACAGCAUGAGAACUCUGCUACUCAACAUAAUUACCAUGAACGUCAUCUUGAUUAAAGCGUCUCCACAGCACAAGGUGGACCAGACUCCAGCAGCCGUGCUGGAAGAGCAGAACAGCAGCAGAGUAAACCUGUCCUGCAAGCAUCAAA